This 136-nucleotide ribosomal RNA is filed under the name Pteropus vampyrus (large flying fox). Lineage: Eukaryota; Metazoa; Chordata; Mammalia; Chiroptera; Pteropodidae. The record is from RNAcentral.
UUUUUCUCCCCCUUACCUUCUCUUCUUGUAACUAGAUAAAAUAUCAAACUGAAGUAUUGGAAGCUAAGCAGGGUCGGGCCUGGUUAGUACUUGGAUGGGAGACCACCUAGGAAGAUCAGGUGCUUUGGCGUAAAAA